AGAGUUUGAUCAUGGCUCAGAAUCAACGCUGGCGGCGCGCCUAACACAUGCAAGUCGAACGAGAAAGUGGAGCAAUCCAUGAGUAAAGUGGCGUACGGGUGAGUAACACGUGGGUGAUCUACCUCUUAGUGAGGAAUAACCCUGGGAAACCGGGGCUAAUACCGCAUAAGCCUUAGCAGGGAAAGUCGAAAGACGCUGAGAGAGGAGCCCGCGGCCGAUUAGCUAGUUGGUGAGGUAAAAGCCCACCAAGGCAGAGAUCGGUAGCCGGCCUGAGAGGGCACACGGCCACACUGGCACUGAAACACGGGCCAGACUCCUACGGGAGGCAGCAGUGGGGAAUCUUGCACAAUGGGGGAAACCCUGAUGCAGCGACGCCGCGUGAGCGAUGAAGCCCUUCGGGGUGUAAAGCUCUUUCGGCAGGGAAGAUAGUGACGGUACCUGCAGAAGCAGCUGCGGCUAACUACGUGCCAGCAGCCGCGGUAAUACGUAGGCAGCAAGCGUUGUUCGGAGUUACUGGGCNNGUAAAAANNNNNNNNAGGCGGUUCUUUAAGUUUGGUGUGAAAUCUCCCGGCUCAACCGGGAGGGUGCGCCGAAUACUGAGGGACUAGAGUGUGGGAGAGGAAAGUGGAAUUCCUGGUGUAGCGGUGAAAUGCGUAGAUAUCAGGAGGAACACCGGUGGUGUAGACGGCUUUCUGGACCAUAACUGACGCUGAGACACGAAAGCGUGGGUAGCAAACAGGAUUAGAUACCCUAGUAGUCC
Molecule: ribosomal RNA, 760 nt
Filed under: uncultured bacterium
Lineage: Bacteria
Description: bacterial SSU rRNA
Rfam family: Bacterial small subunit ribosomal RNA
Source: RNAcentral